AUUGAACGCUGGCGGAAUGCUUUACACAUGCAAGUCGAGCGGCAGCGCGGGGCAACCUGGCGGCGAGCGGCGAACGGGUGAGUAAUGCAUCGGAACGUACCCAGUCGUGGGGGGUAACUGUCCGAAAGGACAGCUAAUACCGCAUACGUCCUGAGGGAGAAAGCGGGGGAUCGCAAGACCUCGCGCGAUUGGAGCGGCCGAUGCCGGAUUAACUAGUUGGUAGGGUAAAGGCCUACCAAGGCGACGAUCCGUAGCUGGUCUGAGAGGACGACCAGCCACACUGGAACUGAGACACGGUCCAGACUCCUACGGGAGGCAGCAGUGGGGAAUUUUGGACAAUGGGGGCAACCCUGAUCCAGCCAUUCCGCGUGAGUGAAGAAGGCCUCGGUUGUAAG
This 395-nucleotide ribosomal RNA is filed under the name uncultured bacterium. RNAcentral's name for it is "bacterial SSU rRNA". It matches the Rfam family "Bacterial small subunit ribosomal RNA", at positions 29 to 429 of the family's 1533-position model. The record is from RNAcentral.